Molecule: transfer RNA, 72 nt
Filed under: Candidatus Nanoarchaeia archaeon
Lineage: Archaea; Nanobdellati; Nanobdellota; Candidatus Nanoarchaeia
Description: tRNA-Gly
Rfam family: tRNA
About the family: Transfer RNA (tRNA) molecules are approximately 80 nucleotides in length.
Source: RNAcentral
GCACUGGUAGUCUAGUGGUUAGGAUUGCAGCCUUCCAAGCUGUGGACGCGGGUUCGAAUCCCGCCCAGUGCA